This 600-nucleotide long non-coding RNA is filed under the name Zea mays. Its description in RNAcentral is "long non-coding RNA NONZMAT003091". Lineage: Eukaryota; Viridiplantae; Streptophyta; Magnoliopsida; Poales; Poaceae. The record is from RNAcentral.
GGAUGCAUGCGAAUAUAAUAUAAUAAUAAAAUGCGAACCCAAUCCGGAUUUGUCGCCUGGUGUCUAAUCGAGCACAUCAGCACCGGAUCAUGGAUCCUCUGAUGAGAACGAUCGAGAGGAGAGGCAGGUCGUCGGGGGCCCGACCAGUUGAUAAAUAAUUUGCACACGCAACCGCACAGCAUCGAUUCGAUUGGAUCGCGGACGGCUACGUCGUCUAUAGCAUUAUAUAAUUGAUCAGUUUAAACCUUACAAAAACUCAUCUAAUUAAAUCAUUCCACAUAUCUCUAUCUAUAACCUCUAAAUAAAUUAUAUAUAAACUUAACACUCAUUCAAAUCUAAUAAACAAUAUUAUUAAGAUCAACCUUCAUCUCUACCACAGUUCCGCCGCAUCUAACCUUCUCCAUGUCUCCCUACCCUCCGCCGUCAACCCUUCUUAUUUUUACCUCGAGAUCGUAGCGCAGGCUGCCCCCUGCCCGACACAUAUCGCCCGCCCCGGCAUGCGGCGACGAUCUAUUUCCCAGCGAUAGGGAUCGGCGCCACCGAUGUGAUGCUGCCGUGUCCUGGAUUUGCACCUACCGCCCGUUCCCAACAUGCGUAUCG